RNAcentral lists this unclassified non-coding RNA (281 nucleotides) under uncultured fungus. Its description in RNAcentral is "partial contains 5.8S ribosomal RNA, internal transcribed spacer 2, and large subunit ribosomal RNA". Lineage: Eukaryota; Fungi. The record is from RNAcentral.
AACGCAUAUUGCACCCUUUCGGGGGUAUGCCUGUUUGAGAAUCUAUAGUAUUCUUUUUUUCAGUGUAUGCUGGAAAAGACUUGGCGCUUCUCGGGUUUUCGAGUGCGCUUAAAACUAUAGCUUGGGGUCUUUUAGAUGCCGCAGCAAAAUUGUUUGAAGCUUCUUGAGCAACCUGCAACUAGCUAUGGAGAAAACAUUUAAAAAACACCAACUAAACCAAGGAGGCCUAAACAAGCCCGAACCAUGGUCUCAAAUCAGGUAGGAGGACCCGCUGAACUUAA